RNAcentral lists this transfer RNA (71 nucleotides) under Cordylochernes scorpioides. RNAcentral describes it as "tRNA-Gly". It matches the Rfam family "tRNA". From Rfam's summary of the family: Transfer RNA (tRNA) molecules are approximately 80 nucleotides in length. Their secondary structure includes four short double-helical elements and three loops (D, anti-codon, and T loops). The record is from RNAcentral. Lineage: Eukaryota; Metazoa; Arthropoda; Arachnida; Pseudoscorpiones; Chernetidae.
GCAUCGGUGGUUCAGUGGUAGAAUUCUCGCCUGCCACGCGGGCGGCCCGGAUUCGAUUCCCGGCCGAUGCA